UGAGUGGAACUAGCAGUGAUGGUACCCUGUUGUUCUUGUCUUAGAGCCUUGUGUAAGUGCCCCCCACAGAUACCCACAGCUCCUCCAUCUCAGACAAGAGCAGACCCUGUCCUGACUGGGGCUGCUGCCCACUGCUCCAAAGACUCUUUGUAUGACAUCCUGUACAUUCACUAAUAAUAAAUACAUUUUUCCUACCACUUUCUCCAAAGCUCAGAGCCAAAUUGGAUCAUAGGCACACUGAGUUCUUGCAAUACCUCUUCCCAUGGUAUUUAUAUGUCAUUAAUGAUAGUAAUAGAUUUUGAAAUCAUAGAAAAUUCAGGGAGUUAGAAAGAAAGGUAGGCUUGGUAGGCCCUGGGAAAGUGCUAAAGGUAGGCCCUGGGAAAUGUUAGGCCUUGUGCUUGCUAGAUCAUGUGAAACUGCACCUGUGUAGUCAGUAGAUGAUAAAUGAUACAAUUGUUAGAUGUGAUUAGAUAUAAUUAUUGUUUAAAGAAUCAUGAGAAACUAUGUUAGGGGUUUGAGGGGGAUCACAAGAAAUCCAUGCUUGGAUGAAAUCAAUAGAACAAUGUAAGUUUAAUAAUUAAUAUGUAAGUUAUAUAAUGAUAGAGUAUAAAAUAUGUUCAGCUCAAAACCAGGUUGGGUCAGAUUUGGAUCUGUGUACCCCUGACACCAAGAGCUCUUUAAUAAAAGCACCUACAUAUAACCAUUCCGUGAUUAUGUGUUCCUGAACGCUAACAUUAAGAAUCUCUGGGUUCUUACUGCUGCCUUUUCUAUGCACAGAAGCCCUGAUUUUGGAAUCACCAUGUGCUGGUUGAAAUUUCUGCAACAGUCUCUACCUCCCAUAUUGGGCUUGUUCUACCUCCUGGAGCUCUCCUACUGCGAACUGGUGGCCACCCCGCCCUUUGAUGUGAAGAGGAAGGUGAGUGACAGCAGCACAACAACCACCAGAUGGUUCAGUCAGCCCCCAUCAUGAGGCUAUGCUCCCAUUCUGCUGUCAGCUCCCUAGGGGUACAAAGGAGAAGGCACAAGUGCUGCUAUGAAGACCCUUUUUCAUGUCAACCCUUCAGCUCUUAAAUCCCACCACUGUACAUUGCACUGAGCCCUGCUCAUGUGUGGUAUGGCCUUCCUGUCUGCUAGGCUGGGGAAGUGCGGGGGGCUGGGGUUUCCAUGGCUUGUAAAGAUAUAGGCACCAGGUGAACAAAGCAUCACAGCCUUGCCCAGCUCUCAGGGGCUGCCUUGCACCAGAGGUCUGUGCCCUCCUGAUGGGACCAACCUGGCCUGCCCUGAUGAAGGUCCUGUAAAAUUAUGUGUGACUUUUGCAGCACAGGCAAUUGAAGCUCCUCCAUUAUAGCCCAUGAGUAGGACCUGACCCAGGCCAAGGGCAAUUUACUGUCAUUACAAAAGGCCUUCAAUACACAGAGGAAGCAUCUGUAAGAAAAUAUGGUGCAUUGAGAGACCUAUUUUGGAAGGGCAGAUUGAUUAGCGGGAAUUUAUAAAAAUCUGUCUUCCAGCAUUUUUGCACCAAGGUAUUGCACAGAUAUUUAUCUGGGUUUCUAUAAACUGGGCAUAAAGGACAAAAUUCUCUUGAGAUUGUGCAGGACCUCAGAGACCUAUAAUGUAAUGGGGAGCCCUGAUGAUUUGUGCAGACAGCAGCAUGCAGGCACAGAUGCUGCCGGAGCAAGGUAAGACUGACAAUCUCUCUUCUCAUGCCAGGACUUUAAGGAACAGAUUAUCCACCACAUUGUGACCAUCACUCUGAUCUUUGUCUCCUACUGUGCCAGUAUGAUAUGGUUAGGGAUGAUAAUCAUGCUGGUGCAUGAUGCCUCUGAUUAUAUUUUAGAUGUGCAUUACCCUCACCUGGAAAUCAUGGAAUCACAGAAUGGUUUGACUAAGAAAGGAUAUUAAAGCCCAUCUCGUUCCAACCCCUCUAGUGGAAUACUUUCCACUAGAUCAGAUUUCUCCGAGACCCAUUC
RNAcentral lists this long non-coding RNA (1970 nucleotides) under Cyanistes caeruleus (blue tit). RNAcentral describes it as "lncRNA (ENSCCEG00000005635.1)". Lineage: Eukaryota; Metazoa; Chordata; Aves; Passeriformes; Paridae. The record is from RNAcentral.